AUUGAACGCUGGCGGCAUGCUUUACACAUGCAAGUCGAACGGCAGCGCGGGCUUCGGCCUGGCGGCGAGUGGCGAACGGGUGAGUAAUGCAUCGGAACGUGCCCAGUAGUGGGGGAUAGCCCGGCGAAAGCCGGAUUAAUACCGCAUACGACCUGAGGGUGAAAGCGGGGGACCGAAAGGCCUCGCGCUAUUGGAGCGGCCGAUGUCGGGUUAGCUAGUUGGUGGGGUAAAGGCUUACCAAGGCGACGAUCCGUAGCUGGUCUGAGAGGACGACCAGCCACACUGGGACUGAGACACGGCCCAGACUCCUACGGGAGGCAGCAGUGGGGAAUUUUGGACAAUGGGGGCAACCCUGAUCCAGCCAUGCCGCGUGCGGGAAGAAGGCCUUCGGGUUGUAAAACGCUUUUGUUCGGGAAGAAAUACUCUGGGCUAAUACCCCGGGGGGAUGACGGUACCGGAAGAAUAAGCACCGGCUAACUACGUG
This 484-nucleotide ribosomal RNA is filed under the name uncultured bacterium. Its description in RNAcentral is "partial 16S ribosomal RNA". It matches the Rfam family "Bacterial small subunit ribosomal RNA", at positions 29 to 507 of the family's 1533-position model. The record is from RNAcentral.